UUAAUUUGAGAGUUUGAUCCUGGCUCAGGACGAACGCUGGCGGCGUGCCUAAUACAUGCAAGUCGAACGAACUCUGGUAUUGAUUGGUGCUUGCAUCAUGAUUUACAUUUGAGUGAGUGGCGAACUGGUGAGUAACACGUGGGAAACCUGCCCAGAAGCGGGGGAUAACACCUGGAAACAGAUGCUAAUACCGCAUAACAACUUGGACCGCAUGGUCCGAGUUUGAAAGAUGGCUUCGGCUAUCACUUUUGGAUGGUCCCGCGGCGUAUUAGCUAGAUGGUGGGGUAACGGCUCACCAUGGCAAUGAUACGUAGCCGACCUGAGAGGGUAAUCGGCCACAUUGGGACUGAGACACGGCCCAAACUCCUACGGGAGGCAGCAGUAGGGAAUCUUCCACAAUGGACGAAAGUCUGAUGGAGCAACGCCGCGUGAGUGAAGAAGGGUUUCGGCUCGUAAAACUCUGUUGUUAAAGAAGAACAUAUCUGAGAGUAACUGUUCAGG
This 501-nucleotide ribosomal RNA is filed under the name Lactiplantibacillus plantarum. RNAcentral describes it as "bacterial SSU rRNA". It matches the Rfam family "Bacterial small subunit ribosomal RNA", at positions 1 to 471 of the family's 1533-position model. Lineage: Bacteria; Bacillati; Bacillota; Bacilli; Lactobacillales; Lactobacillaceae. The record is from RNAcentral.